RNAcentral lists this ribosomal RNA (380 nucleotides) under uncultured eukaryote. RNAcentral describes it as "partial 18S ribosomal RNA". It matches the Rfam family "Eukaryotic small subunit ribosomal RNA", at positions 592 to 976 of the family's 1831-position model. The record is from RNAcentral.
CAAUAGCGUAUAUUAAAGUUGCUGCAGUUAAAAAGCUCGUAGUUGCAUUUCCGAGGCAAGGGAUUAGUCCGACCUUUGGUGGGUAUUUAAUCCUCUUGCCUCGUCCUUGAGUGGUGCUUCUUGGUAUUAAGUUAUCGAGGAGAUAGCCGCUCAUCGUUUACUGUGAGAAAAUUAGAGUGUUCGAAGCAGGCUUAUGCCGUUGAAUAUAUUAGCAUGGAAUAAUAAGAUAGGACCUCGGUACUAUUUUGUUGGUUUGAGAACCAAGGUAAUGAUGAAUAGGGACAGUUGGGGGUAUUCGUAUUCAGUUGUCAGAGGUGAAAUUCUUAGAUUUACGGAAGACGAACUACUGCGAAAGCAUUUACCAAGGAUGUUUUCAUUAA